This 567-nucleotide ribosomal RNA is filed under the name Triticum aestivum (bread wheat). Its description in RNAcentral is "partial small subunit ribosomal RNA". The record is from RNAcentral. Lineage: Eukaryota; Viridiplantae; Streptophyta; Magnoliopsida; Poales; Poaceae.
AUGUCGGAUAAAAAGGAUUUUGGAUAUAGUUUUCCUUCUGACGGCCCAGGGCACGGCCGUACUUGUGAUAUUUCUGCUUGGGACACAUUUUAUUUGGCAGUUUUCUCGAUGUUAAAUACCACUAGGUGGGUUACUUUUUAUUGGCAUUGGAAACAUAUCACAUUAUGGAAGGGCACCGUUUCACAAUUUAAUGAAUCCUCCACUUAUUUGAUGGAAUGGUUAAGAGAUUACCUAUGGUUAAACUCUUCACAACUUAUCAAUGGAUAUAAUCCUUUUGGGAUGAAUAGUUUAUCGGUAUGGGUGUGGAUGUUCUUAUUUGGACAUCUUGUUUGGGCUACUGGAUUUAUGUUCUUAAUUUCCUGGCAGGGGUAUUGGCAGGAAUUAAUUGAGACUUUAGCAUGUGCUCAUGAACGCACACCUUUAGCUAAUUUAAUUCGCUGGAGAGAUAAGCCCGUGGCUCUUUCCAUUGUGCAAGCAAGAUUGGUUGGAUUAGCUCGCUUUUCCAUGGGUUAUAUAUUCACUUAUGCAACUUUCUUGAUUGCCUCAACAUCAGGCAAGUUUGGUUAA